Molecule: ribosomal RNA, 471 nt
Filed under: uncultured bacterium
Lineage: Bacteria
Description: SSU rRNA
Rfam family: Bacterial small subunit ribosomal RNA
Source: RNAcentral
AGGACGAACGCUGGCGGCGUGCUUAACACAUGCAAGUCGAGCGGAAAGGCCCUUCGGGGUACUCGAGCGGCGAACGGGUGAGUAACACGUGAGUAAUCUGCCCCUAGCUCUGGGAUAGCUCCGGGAAAACCGGGAUUAAUACCAGAUACGACCACUUUAGACAUCUGCUGUGGUGGAAAGAAUUUCGGCUAGGGAUGAGCUCGCGGCCUAUCAGCUUGUUGGUGGGGUGAUGGCCUACCAAGGCGUCGACGGGUAGCCGGCCUGAGAGGGUGUCCGGCCACACUGGGACUGAGAUACGGCCCAGACUCCUACGGGAGGCAGCAGUGGGGAAUAUUGCACAAUGGGCGCAAGCCUGAUGCAGCGACGCCGCGUGGGGAUGACGGCCUUCGGGUGUAACCUCUUCAGUAGGACGAAGCGCAAGUGACGGUACCUACAGAAGAAGCACCGGCCAACUACGUCGCCAGCAGCCGC